This is a long non-coding RNA of Trifolium pratense (red clover), 793 nucleotides long. RefSeq lists it as uncharacterized. NCBI's taxonomy places the organism in Eukaryota, Viridiplantae, Streptophyta, Magnoliopsida, Fabales, Fabaceae. The record is from RefSeq and is a predicted model, not a curated record. The transcript has 5 exons.
GCUGAUGUUUAAGUUUCAAUUUCCCAUCUUGGCUGAUUGCUAGUUAACUAUGUGUUGGUAAUCAUUAUCAUAGUAUUUUAAAGAGAUUUAUUCAAUUAUCAUACUUGAGUACUACUGCUAAUUGAUUUAUGCUACUCAGCCACGUCCUUUUGUUUUUUCAUCAUACUUGAGUAUUGUGUGUUUGUGUUUAUUAUUCCGUUUAUAAUUUUUACUUCCUUUACUUGCUCCUUGCUUUGAUUAUCCAACUGGGUUACUUUCUAAAAUACAAUUAGGUUUGGUUUUCAAAAGUAAGUUGUCUUACAGCAAUAAGUUGGAUAUUAUAUAUAGGGAGCUUUUGUAACAUUACUCUUGUGCUUCCAGAGACUGGUUUAUGAAUGACUUUUGGGGAUUUGAGAUUUUGAUUAGGCUUGUUUUGUUGUCUGUUUUAGAUCAUCAAACACUGCUACAAAUGUCAUUCAGACACCUUCACAAGCUAAGCAAUAUAGAACUAUUGUAAAGAGACAAAUGAGGGGAAUGAAUGCUUCUGAGCUAGACAAAAAAGUACAUAGAGUAUUCGUUCUUUGGUUCGCCAAUCAUAUUGGAAACAAUCUUGAUAGUCAUAGCGGACCAGAUGAAGAUGUUCUUAAUAGUCUUGCACAAGGUCCUUGGUCAAGCUAGAAGGCACUGCUUGCAAACCUGGAUUCCAUGUAUGCUGAUAUCUAGGAAAUGUUAAACAAUUUGGGUGACCUAUUAUGUACCAUAGCUGGAUUUGACUUCUCUUGACAGAAUUAAAAGGUCUGAGGACAUCCCUGUG